Molecule: non-coding RNA, 2172 nt
Organism: Camelina sativa (false flax)
Lineage: Eukaryota; Viridiplantae; Streptophyta; Magnoliopsida; Brassicales; Brassicaceae
Source: RefSeq, a predicted model, not a curated record
UUUUUUUUGUUAGGUGGACAAAGCAAAAGUGAAACAAAAGAGAGCGUUUUAGCAAUUCCUCGAGUUCUUCCUUCUUCUUUGCCGUUUGUACCAUGGUCCGAUAUGCUCGAUUUCUUCUUCUUCUUUCUAUCCAUCAAAUUCAAUACUCGAUGGAAGCUUCACGCCGGAUCUUUGUAUUGUUUUAAUACACUCUCUCUGUCUCUACAACACGCUAUCACUAGAACUCUUGAUUGAUUCCUCGCCGAGAUAAGGGAAUUGAGAUGCUCUCUCUUGGAUCAUUCAAGACUGGUGUCAUCCUUUUGGCAGGACUAUUUUUCUAUGAUAUAUUCUGGGUUUUCUUCACUCCGGUUAUGGUUAGUGUUGCCAAAUCCUUUGAUGCUCCAAUAAAGGUAUUUUUUGUUGCACUUGCUCUAAGAUUUGAUGUGUCAAGAUGUAGACAACCACAAUACUUCAAUAGAUGGAAGAUGGUGUUAUAUAGUGUUUGAGGUUGCAGGGUAUUACCUAAAAGAUGUCAUCCUUAGAAUUAUUUUUUUCUUUUGGUGAAAAUCAAGAUACGGACGGUGAGAAUCAACGGGAGCAUGAGCUAAAACUCACGUCGACACAGAUUCAUUAACCAAAUUUGAGUUAGUGGAUUAUAUGACCCAGUUAGAAGAAACUUCUCUCGCGGCACACUCGGAUCUUCUCUUUGGUUGAAAUCGAUUUCCUUAUCGAUUCAACUUGCGGUCGAUAGUCUUGUCUUGAUUCUUCUUUUCUUCUCUCCUUCUCUUUCGCGAACUCGUCCACCCUUCUCUCUUUUCUCUCUCGCUCACUUUCUCUCUCAAUUUUCUCUCCUUACCCCUUUUGUGUUUUUUGCGAAAUGAGAGAGGUGAGACCUUAUUUAUAGAGGACUUGGGCGGUGGAGAUGGCCAAUGCAUGAGGUUCUCUUCUUCUUCUUAGUGCAUGUUGUUAACACUUGUGUGUGUUUAACAUUAACACUUGGCCACUAAAACAUUGUUUAAUCUCCACUAAUCCACCUUGAAUUGUUUAAUCCUUCCACUAUCUCCACUAACUCCUUCUUGAUUUGUUUAAUCCUUCCACAAAUUCCACUAACUCUUCUUUGAUUAAAAUAAUCUCCACUUUCACUUGACUUAGUUGAUUUUUGGUGAAGGAAGAUUUUCUUGUUGGUUCGGUUCGCGUCUCUCGGUCGAUCGUCGGUCAGCUCUCGACAAUUCUCGAUGCGUCUCGGCACUCUCGGCAACUAUCGGACUUUCUUGGCAAUUCCCGGUAGCUUCUUGGACAACUCUCGGUCCUUCGGACAUCCUCGGACAACUCGGACAUUUCUCGAUCCGUCCAGAUUUUCUUGGACUUUUCUUCAUCAAAUUUUCUUCUCUCCUUGUUGGCUUCCUUUCUUGGUCUUUAGGCUUAGAGUUUUUAUUUUGCAAUUUACCUCUGGGUGAGGGUCAUUACAAUGCGUCUCUCUCUCUCUCCUUCUCUCUCUCUCUAUUCUAUCUUUUCAAAUUUAUUCCCUAUCCUAAUUUUUAACCUCGUCUCUUCUUCCAAAGAGUUCUCGAUGACCUGAGAAUUUGAUUUCAGGAUCUGUAGAUUUUAAUGAAAUUCUUGUUCGAAUUAAUCAAAGGUGAAUUUGGUGAGAUUGCUUUGCUUCUUUAACAAUGACCUAUGCUUUUUCCAUGUCUCUUGCCGCACGAGUCUUGUGUUUUCUUCUCUUUAUGUUUGUUUCAUCGAAGACAAAACUUUGUGACGACUCUUUUGUUUCUUCUCUCUAACUGAAUUCAAGAGCAGUCUUAUAGUGUGAAGGAGAAGAACAAACAAUUAGAGUCUUAUAGUGUGAAGGAGAAGAACAAACAAUUAGAGCCGUCAUGUUUUCAAUGUUGAGGCUGAUGUGUCACACAAGGAAAACAACACAUCCUUCUUUUAUUGUAUUAACCAAAUUUGAGUUAGUGGAUUAUAUGACCCAGUUAGAGGUAUAUGCCCCAUCAUAUGUUUCGGUCGGUUCGGUCGGUUCUGAAUUGAACCGAUUAAGUAGUUUGGUUUAAAAUGAUUUUGUUUUUUUUUUUUUUUUUCCUUUUGAAAUGUUUGGUUUGUUUCACAUAAAAUAUAUGGUAGUCAAAGUGAAACCGAUUUUUUUUUUUAUCUUGAUUGUAAUUUUAGUUUAUAUACGAUGACUUUGAUACA